Sebastes umbrosus (honeycomb rockfish) is the source of this 145-nucleotide long non-coding RNA. RefSeq lists it as uncharacterized. The record is from RefSeq and is a predicted model, not a curated record. The transcript is spliced from 3 exons. NCBI's taxonomy places the organism in Eukaryota, Metazoa, Chordata, Actinopteri, Perciformes, Sebastidae.
UGACCAAUCACAACAGAUGGACCGGUAUGAGAAAAGUAAAGUGUUUUUUGAACAUUAAAGCAAGUAAACGUGUUCCAGUAGAAAUCCAGAAUACAAGUAUGAACCUGAAAAUAAGCAUAAUAGGACCUCUUUAAUGGGAGAUUUU